GACGAACGCUGGCGGCGUGCCUAAUACAUGCAAGUCGAACGCUUCUUUUUCCACUGGAGCUUGCUCCACCGGAAAAAGAAGAGUGGCGAACGGGUGAGUAACACGUGGGUAACCUGCCCAUCAGAAGGGGAUAACACUUGGAAACAGGUGCUAAUACCGUAUAACAAUCAAAACCGCAUGGUUUUGAUUUGAAAGGCGCUUUCGGGUGUCGCUGAUGGAUGGACCCGCGGUGCAUUAGCUAGUUGGUGAGGUAACGGCUCACCAAGGCCACGAUGCAUAGCCGACCUGAGAGGGUGAUCGGCCACAUUGGGACUGAGACACGGCCCAA
RNAcentral lists this ribosomal RNA (328 nucleotides) under uncultured bacterium. Its description in RNAcentral is "bacterial SSU rRNA". It matches the Rfam family "Bacterial small subunit ribosomal RNA", at positions 28 to 334 of the family's 1533-position model. The record is from RNAcentral.